UCCACUACCAGAGAUGCAUGCCCUGACAAUGAUGUCCACAAACAUUUUGAAACUCAAACGAUGCCUGCAGGUGAUGAUGGCGAUGACAACGACGACAACAUGCCUGAUGCAGAGAUUGUUCCAAGUCAAGUUCAACCUUGUUCAGCACCUGUGGUUACUGGCAGAGAGGAGUGUCCUGAGAAUGGAGUCUGUCAACCUCUUGAUACUUCAAGUACGUCCAAGGUUGAUGAUGAAAUUCCUCAUUCAGUGAUUGUUUCAAGCCAAGUUCAGCAUUAUUCAGCACCUGUGACUAUUUCCAGAGAGGAACGUCCUGAAAAUGGUGUCUGGCAAUGCCCUGAAACAUCAAACGCAUUCAUGGUUGGAGAUGUGAAUUCUGAUACACAAUAUGCUUCAUUCCAUGUUCAACGUGGUUUCGGAGAAUCAAGUUUCUCU
This 432-nucleotide long non-coding RNA is filed under the name Prunus persica (peach). RNAcentral's name for it is "long non-coding RNA (PPER_LNC001301)". The record is from RNAcentral. Lineage: Eukaryota; Viridiplantae; Streptophyta; Magnoliopsida; Rosales; Rosaceae.